This 2817-nucleotide long non-coding RNA is filed under the name Zea mays. Its description in RNAcentral is "long non-coding RNA (ZMAY_LNC005439)". The record is from RNAcentral. Lineage: Eukaryota; Viridiplantae; Streptophyta; Magnoliopsida; Poales; Poaceae.
CUCGAGCCUAGCCACCGGAUACUUGGGCCUGAAUCGCCGCUAGAAGCACAUAUUCGGGUAGGGCGGAACGAAGUCCGCGCCGUCGCUGUGGAUCCCACGCACCGGGUGUCUUGCGAGGAAAGGUUUCGCCGGGGGGUUCGCCUGAGCUGGGCGAGAUUCGUUGGCCUUCACGUGGCACCAGGCGCAUAGCAGAAGGCGUGCCCGGACGACUGAGUGACCUGGGAGGGCGAGAUUUCUCGCCGGGGUUGGAUUUCCGCCGUGCGGUCGCUGCGCGACGCGGGCAGCUCCACCAACGCACCGACCUUGGGUAAGUGCUCCUCCAGCUGACUCCCUUUACCCCCCUGGAACCUGUAGGACCUUGCGGUAGUGUGUGACCGUCGUGUGCUCGGCAAUUUCUCGCCGGGAAGUAUUCCUGCCGUGUAGUCGCCGUGUACCGUGGACCACUUCGCCAGCACGGCCAUCUCCGGUGAGUUCUGGGGCGUUGAUCUUUGCGGCAACGGCCCAGAUCGACCGGAGGAUAGUUGCCUCAGUGUUUUAUUAGGGCCGCUCGAUUUGGAUCCAAUGGCGGUGAUCAGAUCACGGUAUUGGUGAUGGUGGACCAUGGAUCUCCGAUCCAACCGCUCAGGUCGCGUACCGGUUCAGCAAGCAGUUCAUUUAGUCGUGUACGUUGACGUUAGAUCCGACGGUCCUGGGCGGCCAAUACCUCUUCGCGCUGAGCAUGUUACUUAAGAACCUCUCCGCUUCUAGGAAUUCAACCCGUGGUCCAGCCUUAAUGUGUUCUAAGUCUUGGGAAGUUUUACACCAGAGUCCCUGCGCUUUCCAAAUUGUGUGCGCGCAGUCCAGACACUUGAUAAAUCAGGGAAAAUUAAUAUAGAAAAUGAUUUUGGUAUUAAAAUAAUUCCAGGAAGUUGUUAAAUUCAUAGAAAAUUUAUAUUAGCUCCUUUUUAAUCCAUUCCAGUUACUAUAAUUUUAUAAUAUUAUUUCUUAUCACAUAGUACCUCUGGUUUGACAAGAAAACUGUAUUAAAAUUAAUCUCUUAAUUAAUCUUAUAUCAAAUACAUAAAACCUUCAGAAAUUCAUAACUCACAAUCUAUAACUCCGAUUUGAUCCGUUCUAGUUGCGUUAGUCUCGUAUAAAUAUUUACUAUGCAAUAACAACAUUUAUUAUAUCAUGUCUUAUUAUUUUAUAAUUAAAUCUGUAUUUAACUCAUGUUGGUUAGUUUGGUUAAACUGCUUAUAAACUACUGGAAUAUGACCUAUGGUUAAUUUAUAACUUAGAUUAAAGUUGAAUUAAUUACUACUUUAGGUUAUCUUUUCUCUUGAUUUAUAAAAUAAACAUAAGACCUAGUUUUAAUUACUUAAUCACGUGGGUCUUUCGUAAACUAUACCUCUUAACCGUAACUUCGAUCUUAGUAAUUCGAACUCACGAUCUCGUAGCAACGCGUAGAUUAUUAUUAUUCAGUUUUUACUUAUGUUUGGUGUGAUGUUAAUUUUGUCUAUACCAUGUCUGUUUGUAUUGCUACGACUAGCAGUGAGGUCAUGAGGAUCUGAAGAAUCACCCUGGUAACUGGAAUCUCAAGUGCCAGGCAAGUUGUGCCCUUGACCACUUCUAUUACCCAAUAAUGUUCUUUAUUAUCACUUAUCAAUGCAUAUGUUUAAUUUUGAUGGGACCCAAUAGGUCACCCUAGUCUGUUUAUCAUGUUUACCUUGUUUACCCCUGAUUCACUUGGGUAGAUAUGCUAUUGCAUUAUGUGGUUUCGGGUUAAUAUUUCAUUAUAUCCAUGUUCCUAUUAUUCUGUUAUGUUAUUUAUGUUAAUGAUAAGAUCAUUAUGUUAAUGGGAACAUGGAGCGACCACCCGGGAAAACAAUGCUACCACAAGAGUUUAAUGGGACGCCCUUGUCUGAUUAACUAGGAAAGCUAGUGGAUGACUACCUUACCCGAAAGGGGCAAGGACAGUAGGGGAGUGUUCAGUGUAGGGAGGUCCUUAGGUUGAUUUUGCUGUAAUGGCGGUCAGGUGAGGGAUUCCUGCACUGGAGCUUCCUAUAAACUGUAACGGGUUUUCUGAAGCUAGUGGAACUUUGUAAAGGCCUCGUAGUGUUACCCUGCCUCGCUUCCUUGGUAGAGGUGUAUGGGAUUCAUGACCCCUUGGCAGAUGGGUAACACGGCUUGUGGGUAAAGAUGUGCAACCUCUGCAGAGUGUAAAACUGGUAUACUAGCCGUGCUCACAAUCAUGAGCAGCUCGGACCCUCACAUGAUUAAUCUAUGGAAUAAAAACUCAAUUGGUCAUUUGCAUUUGCAUGAGAUUAUUUAUUAAUUUUGUUCUAUUAUUUAUUAUGGUUUGGUAUUUACUUAUACUUAGUAAUUGCUAAUAAAAUUUUGACCAACUUAUAAAAGCAAUGCUCAGCUGCAACCUUUAUUUUAUUGAUCAGCCUUACACUUCACAUGAAUUCCACCUUUGGUGAGUUCAUGCCACAUUAUUCCCCACAACUUGUUGAGCUAUGAACGUAUGUGAGCUCACCCUUGUUAUCUCACACCCCCCACAGGAGAAGAACAGGUGGUUCAAGAGGAGCCAUAUAUCAAGGAGUUCGAUUCGGUCUAGGUGGCGUCUCCUAGUUGACUUUCUGGCGCCAAGGAUGGAUUUUAGAUCUUGUUAUAUUUAUCUUUUAUUUUGUAAGACUUCCGCUAUGUAAUAAAUACUCUAAUUAUUGUGACAUUUAUCUCUAUACACUCUGUUAUUAUAUAUGUUGUCUUCUUUGGCGCAUGUAUGAGAUGCACCCGGCUUUGUUCCUUAAAGCCCGGGGUGUUACAAAUAUCGAC